This 445-nucleotide ribosomal RNA is filed under the name uncultured bacterium. Its description in RNAcentral is "partial 16S ribosomal RNA". It matches the Rfam family "Bacterial small subunit ribosomal RNA", at positions 354 to 796 of the family's 1533-position model. The record is from RNAcentral.
GUGAGGAAUAUUGGACAAUGGGCGCAAGCCUGAUCCAGCCAUGCCGCGUGCAGGAAGACGCAUCUAUGGUGUGUAAACUGCUUUUGUACGGGAAGAAACACUCCCUCGUGAGGGAGCUUGACGGUACCGUAAGAAUAAGGAUCGGCUAACUCCGUGCCAGCAGCCGCGGUAAUACGGAGGAUCCAAGCGUUAUCCGGAAUCAUUGGGUUUAAAGGGUCCGUAGGCGGUUUAAUAAGUCAGUGGGGAAAGCCCAUCGCUCAACGAUGGAACGGCCAUUGAUACUGUUAGACUUGAAUUACAAGGAAGUAACUAGAAUAUGUAGUGUAGCGGUGAAAUGCUUAGAUAUUACAUGGAAUACCAAUUGCGAAGGCAGGUUACUACUUGUGGAUUGACGCUGAUGGACGAAAGCGUGGGGAGCGAACAGGAUUAGAUACCCGGGUAGUCC